RNAcentral lists this ribosomal RNA (503 nucleotides) under uncultured bacterium. RNAcentral describes it as "partial 16S ribosomal RNA". It matches the Rfam family "Bacterial small subunit ribosomal RNA", at positions 29 to 522 of the family's 1533-position model. The record is from RNAcentral.
AUUGAACGCUGGCGGCAGGCCUAACACAUGCAAGUCGAACGGUAGCACAGAGAGCUUGCUCUCGGGUGACGAGUGGCGGACGGGUGAGUAAUGUCUGGGAAACUGCCCGAUGGAGGGGGAUAACUACUGGAAACGGUAGCUAAUACCGCAUAACGUCGCAAGACCAAAGUGGGGGACCUUCGGGCCUCACACCAUCGGAUGUGCCCAGAUGGGAUUAGCUAGUAGGUGGGGUAAUGGCUCACCUAGGCGACGAUCCCUAGCUGGUCUGAGAGGAAGGCCAGCCACACUGGAACGGAGAAACGGGCCAGACUCCAGCGGGAGGCAGCAGUGGGGAAUAUUGCAAAAUGGGCGCAAGCCUGAUGCAGCCAGGCCGCGGGUAUGAAGAAGGCCGUCGGGUUGUAAAGUACUUUCAGCGGGGAGGAAGGCGGUGAAGUUAAUAGCUUCACCGAUUGACGUUACCCGAAGAAGAAGCACCGGCUAACUCCGUGCCAGCCGCCGCGGUA